Long non-coding RNA from Sphaeramia orbicularis (orbiculate cardinalfish), 154 nucleotides. RefSeq lists it as uncharacterized. The record is from RefSeq and is a predicted model, not a curated record. The transcript has 3 exons. Lineage: Eukaryota; Metazoa; Chordata; Actinopteri; Kurtiformes; Apogonidae.
UUUAAAACCCUCAUCCCUCUUUCACUUUCACCAGAGUCUGUCAUGUCAUUUUGCACCCUCAGAUUAUCAUCAUGUAUAUGUUUUUAGUAUUGUUUUUUAAGUUGAUUUCAGUUUGGGAGUAUGUGAAUGUAAAACGGCGGUGCUAAAAAACAAA